Molecule: ribosomal RNA, 260 nt
Filed under: uncultured bacterium
Lineage: Bacteria
Description: partial 16S ribosomal RNA
Rfam family: Bacterial small subunit ribosomal RNA
Source: RNAcentral
ACCGGCGCACGGGUGAGUAACACGUAUCCAACCUGCCGUCUACUCUUGGACAGCCUUCUGAAAGGAAGAUUAAUACAAGAUGGCAUCAUGAGUCCGCAUGUUCACAUGAUUAAAGGUAUUCCGGUAGACGAUGGGGAUGCGUUCCAUUAGAUAGUAGGCGGGGUAACGGCCCACCUAGUCUUCGAUGGAUAGGGGUUCUGAGAGGAAGGUCCCCCACAUUGGAACUGAGACACGGUCCAAACUCCUACGGGAGGCAGCAU